AUUGAACGCUGGCGGCAGGCCUAACACAUGCAAGUCGAGCGAGCGGCGGACGGGUGAGUAAUGUCUGGGAAACUGCCUGAUGGAGGGGGAUAACUACUGGAAACGGUAGCUAAUACCGCAUACCAUCAGAUGUGCCCAGAUGGGAUUAGCUAGUAGGUGGGGUAACGGCUCACCUAGGCGACGAUCCCUAGCUGGUCUGAGAGGAUGACCAGCCACACGGGAACGGAGAAACGUUCCGGCCUCCUCCGGGAGGCGGCGGUGGGGAAUAUUGCAAAAUGGGGGAAGGCCUGAGGCAGCCAGGCCGCGUGUGUGAAGAAGGCCUUCGGGUUGUAAGGCACUUUCAGCGGGGAGGCGUUACCCGCAGAGGAAGCACCGGCUAACUCCGUGCCAGCGGCCGCGUAAUAC
RNAcentral lists this ribosomal RNA (405 nucleotides) under uncultured bacterium. RNAcentral describes it as "partial 16S ribosomal RNA". It matches the Rfam family "Bacterial small subunit ribosomal RNA", at positions 29 to 526 of the family's 1533-position model. The record is from RNAcentral.